UACGUAGGGCGCAAGCGUUGUCCGGAAUUAUUGGGCGUAAAGAGCUCGUAGGCGGACUGUCACGUCUGCUGUGAAAAGCUAGGGCUUAACCCUGGACUUGCAGUGGAUACGGGCAGACUAGAGGUAGGUAGGGGAGAAUGGAAUUCCCGGUGUAGCGGUGAAAUGCGCAGAUAUCGGGAGGAACACCGGUGGCGAAGGCGGUUCUCUGGGCCUUACCUGACGCUGAGGAGCGAAAGCGUGGGGAGCGAACAGG
Molecule: ribosomal RNA, 253 nt
Filed under: uncultured bacterium
Lineage: Bacteria
Description: partial 16S ribosomal RNA
Rfam family: Bacterial small subunit ribosomal RNA
Source: RNAcentral